RNAcentral lists this ribosomal RNA (499 nucleotides) under uncultured bacterium. RNAcentral describes it as "bacterial SSU rRNA". It matches the Rfam family "Bacterial small subunit ribosomal RNA", at positions 28 to 526 of the family's 1533-position model. The record is from RNAcentral.
GACGAACGCUGGCGGCGUGCCUAAUACAUGCAAGUCGAACGAGCUCUUCGGAGCUAGUGGCGAACGGGUGAGUAACACGUAGGCAACCUACCCAUAAGACGGGGAUAACUAUUGGAAACGAUAGCUAAUACCGGAUAGGACAUAAAACCGCAUGGUUUAAUGUUUAAAGAUGCGUAUGCAUCACUUAUGGAUGGGCCUGCGGCGCAUUAGCUAGUUGGUGGGGUAACGGCCCACCAAGGCGACGAUGCGUAGCCGACCUGAGAGGGUGAACGGCCACACUGGGACUGAGACACGGCCCAGACUCCUACGGGAGGCAGCAGUAGGGAAUCUUCCACAAUGGACGAAAGUCUGAUGGAGCAACGCCGCGUGAGUGAGGAAGGCCUUCGGGUUGUAAAGCUCUGUUAUUAGGGAAGAACAGCAUAAGUAGGAAAUGACUUAUGUGUGACGGUACCUAAUGAGAAAGCCACGGCUAACUACGUGCCAGCCGCCGCCGUAACAC